RNAcentral lists this small RNA (466 nucleotides) under Pongo abelii (Sumatran orangutan). RNAcentral describes it as "processed transcript". The record is from RNAcentral. Lineage: Eukaryota; Metazoa; Chordata; Mammalia; Primates; Hominidae.
UGCCAGGCGAUCAUAAGCAGCAAUUCUGAACGGCUUCCCGAUAUCAACAUCUACCAGCUGAAGGUGCUCGACUGCGCCAUGGAUGCCUGCAUCAACCUCGGCCUGUUGGAGGAAGCCUUGUUCUAUGGUACUCGGACCAUGGAGCCAUACAGGCUUUUGAUAUUAUGAGAGUGACACAUGGCAGAGAACACAGCCUGAUUGAAGAUUUGAUUCUACUUUUAGAAGAAUGCGACGCCAACAUCAGAGCAUCCUAAGGGAACGCAGUCAGAGGGAAAGAUGGCGUGUGUCUUUGUUGAAUGCCUUAUUGAGGUCACACACUCUAUACUUUGUUAGCUGUGUGAACCUCUCCUAUUGGAAAUUCUGUUCUGUGUUUGUGUAGGUAAAUAAAGGCAGACAUGGUUUGCAAACCACAAGAAUCAUUAGUUGUAGAGAAGCACAAUUAUAAUAAAUUCAAAACAUUUGGUUG